CUAAUGUAACUUAGUCAAAAUCUCAGAUUACUAAACCAGAAACCAAUUCACCGGCAGUUUAAACGCAUUAUGCUGUAACGGACCUAACUCAGUGUACACAAGUCCGAAUCAGGUUUUCUUUGAGGCAUUUUAAAGCUACUUCAGAACACUACAACUUUUAUGUUUUGGCCCAGAGCUAAAUCAGAAUGGAUCCUGGUCAAAAAUCGUGAUAAACUGGACUGAACUGAAGAAACGGACUGCUGGGAAAUUCUUAAAACAGUAGGGGUAUUUUGGACUUUUCACGUCCUACGUUGCUCCGAUUGAGCUGAAAUUUUACAGGCACUUAUAAAACACCAUUCUAUACAACUUUCCUUCUUUUACCAAAGGCCAAUUCGGCCUCUAACAUAUAGGUACAAUUUCGGACAGAAUGCUUGGGAAAUUUUCCAGAAAUCUGGAAUUUUUAGCUCUAAGUGUAAUUUCCUCAAAUUUCUGGUUCUAAUCACCACUAAACAACCUUAUAUAACUUUAAUUGCAACAUUCAUGCAUCAUACUUCAACUUGAGCAGAAAUUCAGAAACCCUAGUUCAUCAAAUAAAUUGGGGAAAAACUCCUACACAUGCUAGCAUCCAUGAAUCUACCACCAAUCAAGCUACCAAGCUUACUUUAACCAUGAUUGAAAGAGAAAGUUAGAGAGAUAUCAUCCUCUUACCUUGAUUAGAAGUCCCUAAGAGCAGCCCCAAGCUUUCUCUUCCCAAAUUUCCACCACCAAUCACUAGAUAAUCACUCAAGAGUAGGUUUAAUCGGUUUACUUUGUGGAUUUUCUCACUAAGUUGUUGGAUUUGAAGGUGAAAUGAAGAAAUCUUCCUUGGUGUUUUCUCCAAGCUAAGUUCGGCCAGCACCAGCAGAAAUGAGGAAGAAUUGGCUAAGUGUUAAGGUUAUAUGGAUGGAGUUUGUCUUGGUAAGAAGCCAUGAGGUGGUGACAAGUGUCACCACCACCACCCUUUCUUUUUUUCUCUUUCUUUCUUGCCUUUCUUAGCCACCAAUUUUCGGUCAACAUGCUGCCAAGAGAGAAGAUAUUAUGUGCAAAAGUCAACAACUUGUUGGGUAAAAAAAAAAAUGGUGGUCAAGCGGUGCGUUCAAUCGGUAAUGCGCGGGACCCGCCGGUUCGCGCCGUUUUUCUUAAAAACUCACGUACUAGGGUUUUUACCUCCCAUUCACUAACCUUAUAUCAUUGCUACUACUCACAUAUUAUUUCUCACUUAAGAGUCACUUUUAAUCAUCAAAUUGAUCCUUGGCCAGUACCGAAAAUUCAUCCGGCGGAAAAUCGCAAAAACCCUAAUUUUGCUCAAAACUUGAAACCAAAGCGUAAAACCUUAUUUUCUAGGUUUAUUUACACUUAGUGUGAUAUAAUGAGGUAGGGGUCUUAAUAAAUAAUAAUUUUCGAAUAAAAGGCAUUUUUGAGGGAAAAUGUAGGAAAUUUGCGGGUCCUCACAUCCUCUCCCCCUUAAAAGAAUUUCGACCUCGAAAUUCAUACCUUUUGUCGCGAACAGGCCAGGAUACUUUUCUUGCAUAUCCGUUUCUAGCUCCCAAGUUGCUUCUUCCACUUCAUGAUGCUUCCAUAGUACCUUUACUAAAGGAAUCUGCUUGUUUCUCAAGUCCUUCACCUUUCGAUCCAGUAUUUGAAUAGGUCGUUCUUCAUAGGUUAAAGACUCGUCAAGUUCAACAUCUUCGGGUGGCAAAAUGUGAGUCGGAUCCGGAUGGUAUUUCUUAAGCAAAGAGACGUGGAAGACAUCGUGGAUCCUAGACAAGUUAGCUGGUAACUCAAGUCGAUAAGCCACCUUUCCUAUUCGCUGAAGCACCUUGAAAGGUCCUAUAUAUCGUGGUUGCAACUUUUUCCCUUUUCCGGAUCUAAUCUUUCCCUUCAAUGGUGUGAUCCAAAGAAACACCUUAUCUCCUAUUUCAAACUCCAAGUCUUUCCUCCUAUGAUCGGCAUAGCUCUUCUGACGGCUUUGGGCGGUUUGAAGUCUCUGGCGAAUCACUUUCACCUUUUCAUAGGCUUCCUCAACCCAUGGUAUAGUAGCCGGAUCUAUGACUUUCUCUCCCCUACUUCAUCCCAAUGAAUUGGAGAUCGACACCGUCGUCCAUACAAAGCUUCAUAUGGAGCCAUUUGAAUAGAGGAAUGGUAACUAUUGUUAUACGCGAAUUCAACCAAAGUCAAGUAUUGGCUCCAACUUCCUUUAAAAUCCACAAUACAGGCUCUCAACAUAUCCUCAAGGGUUUGAAUAGUUCUCUCAGAUUGUCCAUCAGUUUGCGGGUGAUACGCUGUGCUAUAACUCAGCUUAGUUCCUAGAGCCUCUUGUAAUUUCUGCCAGAAUCGGGAUACAAACCUAGGGUCUCUAUCAGAUACAAUGCUUACUGGUACCCCAUGUAGUCUCACUACCUCAUCCAUAUAAAUUUUAGCAAGUUUCUCCAAAGGAUAUUUCAUAUUUAUUGGCAAGAAAUGUGCAGUCUUAGUCAAUCGAUCCACUAUUACCCAAAUGGCAUCAUGCCCCUUUUGUGUUCGUGGCAAUCCUGACACAAAAUCCAUCGUUAUGUGCUCCCACUUCCACUCAGGGAUCUCUAAAGGCUGUAACAAACCUGACGGCUUUUGAUGCUCAGCUUUUACCUGUUGGCACGUAAGACAUUUUUGCACAAACUGGGCAAUCUCCGCCUUCAUUUUCUCCCACCAAUACAGAUUCCUAAGAUCUUGGUACAUUUUAUUAUUCCCUGGGUGCACCGUAUACCUAGAGCAAUGUGAUUCCUCUAAAAUCUCCCUUUUCAAUUCCUCAUCCCUAGGUACCACGACACGAUUUCGAAACUUUAAAAUUCCAUCAGGGCUUAGAUUGAAAUUAGGUAACUCCCCUCUCUUCACUCUCUCUACCCACUUCUGCACUAUUGGAUCCUUCACUUGGCCCUCUUUGAUUCGUUCCAUCAAUGCCGAUUUCGCCUCAAUAUUUCCAAAAAUCACCUUUUCCGGUUCCAAACGAGGUUUCCACUCACAUACAUCUUCCAAUAGGCUCCACUCUCUCACUAUAGAACUUGCCAAUUGAGCCUUCCGGCUUAAAGCAUCUGCUACAACGUUGGCCUUUCCAGGAUGAUAGUUAAUUGUACAAUCAUAAUCCUCUAAGAACUCUACCCACCGACGUUGUCUUAGAUUUAACUCCUUCUGAGAAAACAGAUACUUAAGGCUCUUAUGAUCCGUAUAAACCUCGAAAGUUACACCAUAGAGAUAAUGUCGCCAUUUCUUCAAAGCGAACACUACAGCUGCAAGUUCCAAGUCAUGGGUCGGGUAAUUUUGCUCAUGAGUUUUUAACUUUCGGGAUGCGUAGGCAAUCACAUUCCUAUUCUGCAUCAACACGCACCCUAGCCCUUCUUUUGAAGCAUCGGUAUAAACCGUAUAACUAUCCUUUCCACUGGGCAAAGCUAAAAUUGGAGCCAUAGUCAAUUGUUUCUUAAGCUCUUGAAAGCUACUUUCACACUUAACAUCCCAAAUAUAUUUUCCUUGUUUCUUGGUCAGGUUAGUCAAGGGUCCUGCAAUUCUCGAGAAAUUCUUUAUAAAUCUGCGGUAGUAUCCUGCUAAACCUAGAAAACUUCGCACCUCGGUGGGAUUUUCUGGCCGCUUCCACUUAGCCACAGCUUCCACUUUCGCCGGGUCUACAGCAAGGCCAUCUUUUGAAAUUAUAUGACCUAAAAAUGCCACCUCUUCCAACCAAAAUUCACACUUACUGAACUUAGCAAAUAGUUGGCGCUCUCUUAGGGUUUGCAAUACUAUCCGCAAAUGUUGUUCAUGCUCCUCCCUUGACCUCGAAUACACCAAGAUGUCAUCAAUGAACACCACUACAAACCUAUCCAAGUAAGGUUUGAACACUCGAUGCAUCAGAUCCAUGAAUGCUGCUGGGGCAUUGGUUAAACCAAAAAGCAUCACUGCGAACUCAAAAUGCCCAUAUCGAGUAUUAAAUGCUGUUUUUGGCACAUCCUCCUUCCUAACUCUCAAUUGAUAAUACCCUUGUCGCAGGUCCAACUUGGAAAACACUACAGCCCCUUGUAACUGAUCAAAUAACUCAUCUAUGUGGGGCAAAGGAUAUUUAUUCUUAAUCGUUACGGCAUUCAGCCCUCGAUAGUCAAUACACAACCUCAAACUUCCGUCUUUCUUUUUAACAAAUAACACUGGAGCUCCCCACGGCGACUCGCUCUCAUGUAUGAACCCCCGUUCUAGCAAGUCCUGUAAUUGCACCUUUAAUUCCUUAAGCUCAGCAGGUGCCAUACGAUAAGGAGUUUUAGAAAUGGGAGUGGUUCCGGGUACUAAAUCAACCUUAAAUUCAAUCUCCCUUUCGGGUGGCAAAGACCCCAAUUCUUCCGGAAAUACGUCCGGGUAUUCACUGAUUACUGGCAUGUCUUCCAACUUAGUCUUUUCACCCGGAGUGUUAAUUAGGAAAGCUAGGUAACCACGAGCCCCACGACUAAGCAACUUCCUAGCCCUUAUACCCGAAAUAAGUGCAGAAGAGGCUAUCAUACCCCUCACAUCAAGCUUUAGGGUUGCCUCUCCUGGUAUACCAAAUUCGACCACUUUCAUCUUACAAUCUACCCGAGCAUGAUAGUGAGCUAGCCAAUCCAUACCUAGGAUAACAUCAUACCCCUUAAUGGCUAGACUAAUAAGGUCCACUACCAAUUUCCGUUCGCCAAUCCAAAUAUCACAAUUCCUAUACACCUCAUUCGCAAGCAAAAUUUGAUUACCUGUAGGUGUUCUUACCUCUAAGUCAUAAGGUAACCUUUCAACUUUCGAGUCAAUUCCAAGCAUAAAUGCAGGAUUAACAAAAGAGUGAGUAGCACCGGGGUCUAUUAAAAUUCUAGCUAACCGGUGAAAAACAGGGAUUGUACCUUCUACCACCCUGGUUGGUUCAGGCACAGUUGUUUGAUCUAGCGAGUACACUCUGGCCGGUACCCUCGACCUGGCCCCUCCAGCAGUAGUCGGCUUUGGGUUUGACCUGGCAGUCGACUGAGUGUCAUUGAUUAGCGGACAAUUGAUCAUCUGAUGAUCCGCACUUCCGCACCUCAAACACUUCCGAGCCUUUCUCCAGCACUCGUCCUCAGUGUGGUUCGAUUUUCCACAAUACCCACAUGUCACUCGAGGAGUGGAGGUUUGACCUCCCUGAGUAAAACCUCUACCUUGACCUCUACUGCCUUGGCCUCCCCUCUGGGCAUUCCCUCUCGGAGCACUACCCCUAAACGUGUUCGAAAAUCGUCCACCUCCAGCUCCACGACCGGAUUUAGCAGGUGGCAUGCUCCGCUCGCCUCGUACCGACCCUUGGGCUCCACUAGGUGCCCCUUUCCGCUUAGCGUGGAAAUUUCUCACUUGCGUCCUAGCAGUUUCUAUCCUUAAAGCCUUCUCCAGAACCUCCGUGAAAGUAUUGAUUUGGACCGCUGCUAAGGCUUCUUGUAAUUCCACAUUUAACCCUUGUAUAAACCUUCGUACUUUCCUUGGUUCCGUAGCAAUCAAUUCGGGAGCGAAUUUAGACAAUUUGGUAAACUGAGUCUCAUACUCAGUUACACUCAUCAGUCCCUGACGGAGUUUAAUGAAUUCGUCCUCUCUCUUCUCCUGGACAAUGGGUGGAAGGUAUUUUUCGUUGAAGUCCCGUACAAAGUUUAGCCAAGUCCAGGCAGUUUCUUCUCUCUCCCACUUGGCCCUCACUACAUUCCACCAAGCCCUAGCUGGCCCUUCAAAUUGGAAUACGGCAAAUUGGACUUGUCUCUCCUCAGUGUAGUUUAGGGCAGCAAAGAUAUUUACCAUGGCCUCCAGCCAUUUCUCAGCCUCAUACGGGUCUGGUCCUCCUAAGAAUUUGGGUGGAGAGAACUUCUGGAAUCUCUCCAAGGCUCUAUCUUGCCCUGAAUCAGGGUCUCUAGGUUGAUUUACAGAACCUUGACCCUGUUGUUCCACCAACCGAGUCAAAAUAUUAGUCAUCUGUUGGAUGGCAGUGGCCACCUGAUCUCCCCCGGCAGUCUGGGGUUCAGGUUGCUGUUCAACCGCUGCCUCCCUCUCCUCUAUCGGUUCAGGCACCGGUUCCUGUACUUGCUCACCCUCACGGCCUCGCUUAGAACCGCGUUCUCGAUUAGUUUUCUUGGUCCGACUCCUUUUAUCUUCCAUGUUGAGAGUCAACCAACUAUACGCAUAUAAACAAAAUAAGGUACGGCUCGUAUAACACGUUGCAACAGAAUAAAUAGAGGCAAUCGAGCAUGUAAUAAACAAGCACUUUAUACAUAUAACAACCAAGCCAUAUAUACAGCCAACAAGUCACGUAGUCAGAGGCUAUGACAGCCAAGGAACAUAGAACAAAAGAUAUUUACAUCCACCAGGACACGUCUAAAACAAAACCAAAAGAAGACAUGUCGUCCCACUAUGUUCCUAAUUAGCCCACAAAACUCCUAAAACCUCCAUCCUAACAAGUGGUCUGGCUAGACGCCGACCCAACUGACUCCGAGGACGCGCUCGGCUCCUCCUCCAUGUCCUCCUCAGGAUCCUCCUCAGGGCCACCGGGAGCGGCAGGAGCUACAGGGGCUUGGCCCUCCUCGGCCAAGUCCUGCAUCACAUCCUCUACAAGUGCCUCGCACUCAGUCAGGAUGUGGUCGGUCCGGUCUCGUAUGUGUCCAACUAUGUGCAUCAAACGUCCAGUCACCGCAUGAGCCUGAUCACGGUAAGCAUCAGACUGCUGCUGCUCUGCCAGAACUGCGGCCUCCAACUCGCGUAUCCGAGCUCCCUGAUCUAGGAGAGUGGCCUGGAGACGCUCUAUCUCCGCAAAGCACCUACGAUUGGUGCUACCCAAUCGUCUCCGAUCGUCAUCUAUAGCAAGCACUACUCGGUCAGGGUAAGAGUAGGUCUUCCAGCAAUCGCAGCGCCAGAUCUUGCGCGCUGGGGACCACCGCUGCACUGGCCCGCCGGGAACCUCCUGGUAUGUGAUCACGCGACAUAUAGGGCCCGCUAGAUAUGGCUCGACCACGGGAGCGUCAGUAGGUGCGUCAGUAGGCACCUCAGGCACCUCAGACACCUCAGGCACCUCAGUAGGUAUCUCGGUCGGUAUGUCAGUAGGUGCAGGCUGGGACGGUCCAGCACCCCCAGAAGAGUCAGUGUCUGCCAUCACCUAAGUUUGCAAAUAACAUUGCAAAGGUAAGUACACAUCAAGCACAAAACAAGGCUAAGGCUAAACGCGAUAAUAAAACCCUAGCCUAUCAAGUCAAGCACUCAAUCUAUCCAGAUCAAUUCAAGCCUAAGCUCUGAUACCACCUGUGACGACCCCACCUCUCCCUAAGGCGUACCAAAGGGUUCGGCGGACCGUCUGCCCAGCUCUCGCCAGGACUCACUCACUAUCUCAAUCGAAUCAUAUAUACACAACCAUGCACCAUAAAUAAUAUUCACGAUUCAAACUUAUAAUUUACAUUGAUAGGAAUCAGGUACAAAGUCUUAAUACACCAACUAGUACAAAACGUAUACGAUCCUAGUACAACAUGUUUCGUUCGAGGAAAAACGCGAGUACAAGACCAAAAGUCAAAAGUCAAAACAAAAGGCUACACUAGUCUUUUACAAGUCUCUCGCGUCACCCGUACCCCUGUAAGGAAAACAAACUAAUGGGGUGAGCCAAAGCUCAGUGAAGUUCCCAAAUAUCAAAUUGGUCAGCAACCAAGUUAUAGCAAAAUAAAAGUGAAAUGGCGAGCAAACAAGUCAAAUAAAGGAAAUAGUACUUCAGCUAGUCAAGUAGUAUUAGAUGCACAUUCACAUAUAAGGAUACGGUAUUCAUGUUACGGCUCCAUUCCAGCUUGGUCAAGUGGUAGUUGACACUCCGUCAACUUUCAAGUAAUUUCAAGUCCAAAUAAACUCCACUACACGCCAAUUUCCGUCCACCGAUCAACCCCCUAUUCCGGGCCCGCACGCCAUAUAAACAUGGGUGGUAAUACUCGAGUAUACCGUUAGUCGAGGAGAUAACACUCCACUCGACAUUACAAGUGACCCAGGGUUUGUUAUCUAAUCGACCAGGCCCUUGCCGGCUGUGACGCCCCCACUUCUCCCUAAGGCGAACCAAAGGGUAUCCGCGGGACGCCUGCCCAACUCUCGCCGGGACUCACUACAAUCGAUCAUUCAAAAGCUCGAAAUACUUUAAGUAACCUCAAUACAUAAUUAAAGUACUUCGAAUAUCUCACACUUACAAUUAUGCAGCUGUCAAGCUUAAAUACAACCCAAUGGAAAAGGGGUACUAUAGCCAUCCGUUAUAAUAUAACUUAAAGUCUUCAAAAGAAAACAAUCUAGUACUACUCACGAGCACCCUUGGUCUCGAACCCUGUAAAAGAAAUCCACAACGUGGUAUGAGCUACACAGCCCAGUGAGGUUCCAAGACACUCUAACAGUUCAAAUAAAUCAAAUAAGUUGGGCAUAUCAUACGCAUGGUUCAAGGUUACACAAUGGCAUGUUAUCAUGAGGCAAUAAUCAUUGUACAGGUAAUUUGAGCAUAUCAUAGGUAUGGCACGUUUUCAUAAAACGGUUAUCAUUAUGUAAAAUAAACACACAUUGAAGGAUACGGAGUUCCAGUGGAACUCUGUCGGUCAUCUGCACCUUAUGACUUCCGGAUCCCCUCGGUUUGACUGGCCAUCACCUUAUCCCUCCAGUGGUAAUACUCGAGUAUACCGAAACGGUUGUCCAGGGUUCCAACCUACCCGACCGAGCCCAGUCCUGGCUCGAGUAGGUCAGUAACCGAGGCAGGGCCCAAGUUCAGCUUAGAGCUUACAACAUGCACAAGUAAUCAAGUAAUUCGGCAAAAGGUAAAAUUCAUCAUUUGAGUAGGUCGAGUGAGGUAAAGUACACACUCGCCUAACAAUGAUGGACAACUUCAUAUAACAUGCGAUUCAUGAUAAUCAAGUGAUCAAGUAAGUUGGUGAUCACGUAAGCAGAUAAUCAAGUAAGCAAGUAGCCGAAUGGAUUAGAAAACGGUAAGUAAACACGGUAAACGGUAAACGGUGGUAAUUACGGUUAAUUGGCAGACAUAUGUCAUUUUAAUAGGCCACCAUUGGCCGAUUUUCACUUUUUCCACAUAAGAGUCGAGGAGAUUCACUCCAACCGACUUAUGCUGUCAUAGCAUAAUUAAUCAUUUAAACACAUCAUGUAGAUAUGCUCUCCAAACAUUUCAUAUCUAGUAUUUCAAGUAAUCACAUAAAUAUGCUCUUUAAGCAUUUCAUAUCGAAUAGUUCAAAUAUACAUAUUUCAGGUAUUUCAUGUCGAGUAAUUCAAGUAUACCUUAUUCAGAUAUGCAUGAGUGUGGUAAAUACUUAACAUAUAGCACUUAACACUUAAUAAUCAUGGGUUAUGCAUGUCAUAGACUUAUUCCAAUUACGUAUUCCUAUAUGGAACACUCACCUAUAGCAACAAGAGAGUAAUACUCAAACAAGUGUCUAGGCGUCCACUUCGAGUUCUUCUUGAAGGUCCCCUUGAGCGCCUGAGCAAAUAACCAUUAACUAUUAUACACUAUCACUUAGAACUCCUACUUAUCAAAGAAGGUUGUACAAUCUAAAGGGAAUUCAUGAAUUGGGCCUUAAUUAUUAAUAAUCGAGGCUCAAGAGUAAAGUUUUAAAGUCUAAAGAAAGAGACUAACAUUUUUCAUGAAAUCGAGUUCAAAAUGUUCAAUCGGUAUCGAGAAAAGAAGGCAAGUUUCCAAAAUCUCAUUUCUAAGAAAUUGUCAAAUUUUAGCUUUGGGUGUCAAUUCUAGAAAAAUCGUAUCUUGCACUACGUAGGUCCAAAAUUGGAAAGCUUGAUACCAUUGGAAACUACAUUCCGAGUACUACAAGUUUCUAGAAGACACUUUUCCAUGAUUCGAAAUGGAAGGUAUUCAAAAGUUGGAUCAAAGUUACUGCUGUAGAAUACUAAGACAGUUUCAAGGUUGGUUUUUGGCUAAUUUUGGAAAUUCAGUAAAAUUCACUUGUUUUGAACUAACCUUUGAAAUUUGGAAAUCAAAUAGUGUUGCAAUCCAAGAGUAUAACAAAACAAGCGGAUUGAGAAACGGAGUUUCGAGCACCAAGAUAUAGUAGCCCCAAGUUGAGGAAGAUUCAAGACUGAAGAAGAAUUUCCAGUUUUGAACCUCCAACACUAGAAAUUUAAUUGGGUAUCGAAACGAACUUGGAUUGGUACCAAAAUUGGCAGUAUUUUACUCCCAUAUGAAAGGUACCACUCUAUCAAAUUUCAGGGAAAAAUACUUUCGGUAAGAUAGUUAAUUAGUCAACCAAAGUUCAGGAAAAUUAUAAGGCAAUCUGCCUUGAGACUUUCAUUACCCAAUUCAAAACGUCUAAUCAAGCAAACUAUACAAUCAUGGUUCAUUUGUGAAAUAAAGGCCUAAGAAACAUCCAUAAUGCCUUUGGUAAGUGUUUAGUAUCAAGAACAUCAAUUAACAAGUUCACUCCAAUAUCUUGUUCCAAACCAGUCCAACAUUAGGGUUUUUCCAAAACAGAGCAGUCCACUUGUUUCAGUCACAACUCAGUCAAUUUAACUCGAAAUAGAGCAUGGCUUACGCCGUUGGAAAAUACGUUCAUAGGGGUAAAAUAUCACAGAAGAAAUCAUUUCCAAAUUCGGCACCAAUCUGGUUCAAAAUCGGGCAUCAAGUUGCUGCCUGAACACUUCAUUCCAGAUGAACAGAGCAACAGGACAGCGAACUUAAAACAUUUGGUUCGGCUUGCUCACAAAGAAUCAGAACGUGCAUUAUAUACCAAAUUAAAGCCAGGAAUGUCUAGUUUCCAACGCCACCAACGGCACAUGAUUUCGACAUCCGAGGACAGAGUUAUAGCCAAAAUACUACCACUGGUCAGAAUCAUACGCGAACAGUUUUCCAGAUUGCUAGUUUCUCAAGAAAAAUUCAUUUGCUCAAUCAAACCUCAAUAUUUUCCAAUGAAAUUUUUCACACAUCUAAUACAUCCUAUAAACAUCUAAUUCAAGCCAUUAAACCAUUAAAAAUUGGCCUGGAAAUGGCCGAACAUGGCAGGGGCAAAAUCGGAAGUUUUUGCUUCUUACACCCAAUGAAGUUUCUACUAAUUACCCACCACUAAUGCAUCAUUAUAACCACUAAACCAACAAUAUAAUCACCAUCAAUCAUCACAUCAGCAACAAUAACCCAAGUGUGGGAAUUCCAAGAGCCCACUAUCACAUUUUUACACCAUACACAAGCUAACCAAAUGCAUGCAUGAACUUAACAAGGUAAGAUAGCUUCCAAACUUCAAGUUUUCAAGAGUGGAUCAUCACUUACUUUGGGUUGAUGUUCAGCAGAAUUUUCGGCCCUCUAUUACCCCAGAAAAACCGUGAUUUCCAGCCCUUGUUUGCAGCUCAAAAUGAUCCUCAAGUGUCAAGCUAGGUGUGGUGCAAGUUUGGUUAAUUUUGGAGAUGAUUUGGAGUGGUUUUGAAUGAGAUUAGUGAGCAGAAAUUUUGUUGCAAAUGAGUUAGAGAGAGGAGGGAGCUGGCCGGCUGUUUGAAGCUCAAGAGAGAGAGAGAGUGAUCAGAUUUUAGCUUCCAAGAGAAGACAUUAACUUGUGGCCUCAAGUCACCCAUUAGUCAACUCACAUUAGGGUGCGUUUGGCGCGAUUAGGGCUCGAUUUUCUCGCGCGUUUGGUUCACUAGUGCACUAAACCUCCAAUGUAUUUAUAUUCAUGUAGAUAAUAUUCACUCUUAAUUGUCCCGAAAUAAAGGUCUAAAGUCCCUCAAAUAAAGUCGCGCGUGUGAAAACGCGUACCGUCAAUUUUUUACGCUAUAACGCGAAACCUCCGGGAAAUUCUUAUAACGAUAGUACUAAUAACUAUCACUUGAGUAUUUAAACAUUAAAAUACCGAAUUUAGGUCCAUUAUACAUGUCUCCAAUAUUCCAAACUUAUUGUACUCUCAAGCGGAUAAAAUCUUCAAGCACUAUUCACUGUUUUUACUAAACGCGCUCCAGGAAAUUAAUUCAUGAAAUGAGUUACUUUAAAAAUAUAACGAAGUUAUAUUACCAUGUAUUUAGGUCUAAUAAGACUAGAAAAUAUUCCUCGAGGCAAAUAUCCAAUUAAAUAAUUUAUUAAGCCACAAAUUAGGCUAAAAAAAAUAAUAGUUUUUACGAGUCCUCACAGGCUCGACUUGAUUAACUAGCCACAGGGUUUCUGGAAUUCCAGGCAAGAUACAAUUCAAGUACAUGUACAACAAGUCAAGUAUGAUCAAUAGCAAGAACAGGUCAUAUUAGGGCAAGUGCGAUAAAGUACACCCUUGCCCUUUCAUUCAUUGUCAUGUAAUCACGCAAGUCAAGUAGGGAGUACACAUAUCAAUUAAAAUCGGAUAUUUGGAAGCACUCACCACAAUAGUGCUUCUAGUUUUCGCGUCGAGGUGGUACUCCGGGUUGGGAGUCCAAAUCUGCGAUAAAACUUUACUUGAGAACUUUGAAAUCAACCAAGGUUCGAAACUUAAGCGUUUCGUUCAAUAAGAAUCAAGAAAUUGAAAUUCACUGGAGAAGAGUCGUGAAAUAGUUGCUCGCUCUUUAAACUGAAAAAUUUGAUAAUAUUUUUGCUUGAAGAUGACUCUUGAGUCAAAAGUGCAAGUAAAACGGUUUCGUAGUGAUUCAUAUCGUUUUCCUAAGGGUACAAGUUCGGCCAAGUCCUAACAUAUAACCCUCGAUAAACAAGUGGCAAAGGUCCUCGAUAGUUCAAGUGAUAAUCACUUAACCUUCACUCAAGUCGCAAAGAUAGUUCUCUAGACCUCGAGUAAAAAUUUGGGCAGCAUGCCCUUUGUGUUUACCUAAUUUCCAGCCAUUUAGGCUUCAAUAUUUUCCUUCAACAACAUCCCAACAUCAUACAAAUAAGCAAUUUAUGUCAAGAGCCGUUCCAUAGGCUCACAAUACCAUAACAACAAGAAUCGCAUCAAGUACAAGUGCAGAAACGCAAUUUAGUUCAAGACAGAUUUGACGUACAAAUGCGGUAAUACCAUACCUGAGGCUACGCUUAUCGGAUUAAAACAAAACCUAUGCCGUUUCGAAGCUAAGACACAGAGCUACAACAUUCAUGAAGGUCACUUAGUCCAUUUCCUAAUGUAACUUAGUCAAAAUCUCAGAUUACUAAACCAGAAACCAAUUCACCGGCAGUUUAAACGCAUUAUGCUGUAACGGACCUAACUCAGUGUACACAAGUCCGAAUCAGGUUUUCUUUGAGGCAUUUUAAAGCUACUUCAGAACACUACAACUUUUAUGUUUUGGCCCAGAGCUAAAUCAGAAUGGAUCCUGGUCAAAAAUCGUGAUAAACUGGACUGAACUGAAGAAACGGACUGCUGGGAAAUUCUUAAAACAGUAGGGGUAUUUUGGACUUUUCACAUCCUACGUUGCUCCGAUUGAGCUGAAAUUUUACAGGAACUUAUAAAACACCAUUCUAUACAACUUUCCUUCUUUGACCAAAGGCCAAUUCGGCCUCUAACAUAUAGGUACAAUUUCGGACAGAAUGCUUGGGAAAUUUUCCAGAAAUCUGGAAUUUUUAGCUCUAAGUGUAAUUUCCUCAAAUUUCUGGUUCUAAUCACCACUAAACAACCUUAUAUAACUUUAAUUGCAACAUUCAUGCAUCAUACUUCAACUUGAGCAGAAAUUCAGAAACCCUAGUUCAUCAAAUAAAUUGGGGAAAAACUCCUACACAUGCUAGCAUCCAUGAAUCUACCACCAAUCAAGCUACCAAGCUUACUUUAACCAUGAUUGAAAGAGAAAGUUAGAGAGAUAUCAUCCUCUUACCUUGAUUAGAA
Molecule: long non-coding RNA, 13775 nt
Filed under: Coffea arabica (coffee)
Lineage: Eukaryota; Viridiplantae; Streptophyta; Magnoliopsida; Gentianales; Rubiaceae
Description: long non-coding RNA (CARA_LNC000550)
Source: RNAcentral